This is a small nucleolar RNA of Spermophilus dauricus (Daurian ground squirrel), 126 nucleotides long. The record is from Ensembl. NCBI's taxonomy places the organism in Eukaryota, Metazoa, Chordata, Mammalia, Rodentia, Sciuridae.
AGGUCAUUUCAAAGGAGGUUUAUGGGGCUAUGAAACCAGGAGCCAACACUAUGACCAAAGAUUAAAUUUCUCCCUAGGGCACCAGAGUCCCUGAAUAGUGCUGUGUUUUUCUGAGGAAAUAUAAGA